Molecule: ribosomal RNA, 700 nt
Filed under: uncultured bacterium
Lineage: Bacteria
Description: bacterial SSU rRNA
Rfam family: Bacterial small subunit ribosomal RNA
Source: RNAcentral
GAUGGCGACCGGCGCACGGGUGCGUAACGCGUAUGCAACCUACCCAUAACAGGGGGAUAACACUGAGAAAUUGGUACUAAUACCCCAUAAUACUUUGGAAGGCAUCUUUUGGAGUUGAAAGUUCAGGCGGUUAUGGAUGGGCAUGCGUUGUAUUAGCUAGAUGGUGGGGUAACGGCUCACCAUGGCUACGAUACAUAGGGGGACUGAGAGGUUAACCCCCCACACUGGUACUGAGACACGGACCAGACUCCUACGGGAGGCAGCAGUGAGGAAUAUUGGUCAAUGGACGCAAGUCUGAACCAGCCGUGCCGCGUGCAGGAAGACGGCUCUAUGAGUUGUAAACUGCUUUUGUACAAGGGUAAACCCUGGGACGUGUCCCAGGCUGAAAGUACUGUACGAAUAAGGAUCGGCUAACUCCGUGCCAGCAGCCGCGGUAAUACGGAGGAUCCAAGCGUUAUCCGGAUUUAUUGGGUUUAAAGGGUGCGUAGGCGGAAUAGUAAGUUAGAGGUGAAAGCUCGGGGCUCAACUCCGGAACUGCCUCUGAUACUGCUAAUCUAGAGAGUAGAUGCGGUAGGCGGAAUGUAUGGUGUAGCGGUGAAAUGCUUAGAGAUCAUACAGAACACCGAUUGCGAAGGCAGCUUACCAAACUAUAUCUGACGUUGAGGCACGAAAGCGUGGGGAGCAAACAGGCUUAGAUACC